Helianthus annuus (common sunflower) is the source of this 2694-nucleotide long non-coding RNA. RefSeq lists it as uncharacterized. Lineage: Eukaryota; Viridiplantae; Streptophyta; Magnoliopsida; Asterales; Asteraceae. The transcript has 3 exons. The record is from RefSeq and is a predicted model, not a curated record.
UACACAAAUACAAAUUCUCUCUUUUGUCUAUGGUUCUUCAUUCUUGUAAUCUUUCGAUUGAAAUAGUUUCGGAUCAAUAUAUAUUGAAGAUGACUUUUUCAUAAUUGGUAGUAUUUGAUUUCUUAAUCCGUACUUGCAAAGCAUGUUGUCAUAGUGUCAGUCAUGUUGUUUCGCCUUACGUCAGGCAAGUGACGGCCACACGCGCGCGUUAGUUGUCACAUCUUUUUUGCCGCCUAACAUGUCUCUUUCUCAUUGGGCUUGCGCUGCAAGUAGGAGGCACGGUUACUCAUCGCAUUAAAUGUGAUGGGUAUAAAUAGAAAACUUAGGGUUGAAGAGAAUCACUUUCUUGUUGCAUUUCCCUUGAAUUCCCUUUCGACCUUUAAACUUCCCUACACUUUCUUCGAAGAUCUGCAUAUUUUUUCUGCUAAUGUCUACAUUAUCUCUUCCUGAGGACAUCGUCGAUAUCGAAGAGGUGGUCGGAGGUGUGCCUCCGAUCAAGUGGACGGACCUUCAUUUGAGCAGAUUGUACAUGGCCCCAGAUUCCUGGAUCUUUGGGGAGCGACGUAUCCAUCUCAAGGUCAGAUUGCAGCCGAUGCUCCGAUCGAUUACAUUACCCUGUACUCCAUUUUCUUCCACGCCGGUAACUUUCGAUUACCGGCGACCAACUUCCUUGGGGAAUUACUGACCUUUUAUUGGUUCCACAUUUCUCAGUUAAGCUGUAACACCUUGUAAAUUCGUGUCCGGUAAUGUGAUGACACGUGUCCCUAUUCCCAAUUGUGCCUAAUGUUGGCCGGGAGGGACUAAUUUUGCCAAUUGUAGAAAGUAUGAAUGUGGAAGGACUAAAGGUGUCAACAUGCUGAAACUAUGCCUCUGAGUGACCCUUUACGGAUCACGAACUUGAUACUAUACGAUCAUGUCCAUACUCUCAAAUGAGCCAAUUAUUUGGACAAGAGGGACCAUUAUUAACAAUUUAUGAAAGUUGGAAAGUGGAGGGACCAAAGAUGACAAAUUAUAAAAUUUUUGAACUUGGUUCGUCGUCUACAGACCGUAGAGAACUACUCCAUAUGGUUCGCAAGGAGGCGGUUAAGCUUGAUGCGCCUGAAAUCCUCUACGGACCGCAAAGGGUAUACCCUCACGGUCCGUAAGGAGGCGGUAAAGCUUUUGCUACUAACAAUUAGCUACAUGAUGUUAAAUGACAUAUAUAAUAUUUUUUUAUUUAUUUUAUAUGUGGAAUCUAUUUAUUUUCAAAGCAUAACAUAUUUUUUAUAUUUUUUUUCUCUAUGUGCGUUUUUCUUAAAAAAGCUCACGCUUUUUUGCGCCUUGCGCCUAGGCUUCGGGCGAGGCUGAUGCGCCUCGCCUGCGUCUUGCGUCUUUGACAACAUAGAAUAGGACGGAUUUGGUUCCAACAUAUGUGAGGCUGCUUCGAGAUAAUGAAUCCGAAGUACGUAUUGCAGCUGCAGGUAAAGUCACAAAAUUCUCUCGCUUUCUUAGUCUGGAACUUGUUGUUCAACAUAUUCUUCCAUGUGUCAAGGAAUUGUUCAGGUUCUUCUUAGCAUGUUAGGAAACGAGAACAAUUCUUAGUUUGGUUGUUCAUGCAGAUUGAUUGAACCCAAAGACGUGUAAUGAACUCAUUCGAUACACAUGAAGAUACACAAAAAGUGCCUGUUACAGACAUCUGCUAUCUACGUAUAAUUUAAUGUUAUCAUACCGAACCGCACCAUACCGGGUAUUUUUGGUACCGGUACCCAUUUUUUGGGAUUUUUCGGUACCGGGUAAUACUUUUUUUUUUUGUCAUUUAUACGAUGUGGAAUGCAAUCUAAAAAGGUUGGUUUUUUUUUUUUCCUCAUAAGGUAACAUUGCCAAUGAUCCUUUAGUUACAAACUUUUGGGUCUCAGUUGACUCUUUGUAAAACAGACAGAUUAGAUAGUCAAUUUCAAAGUUUUAUAUUGUUACAUAUAAUAUUUUUACUGUGGACAAAUAUUCGUACUUAGAGAAGUAGGUUGAAGACAUACAUUUGGCUAUACCUUUGACAGCCCAUGGAUUCAAAGUGUCAAGAGAAUCGGUGGAGUGAAAACCAACAAAUUAUAACUGUUUGUGGGAUUUUUCAGCCUAAGAUCUAAUACUUGGCUUUAUAUUAUGCCAAUAAUAUGGUUGGUUGAGACGAGUAGGUAAUGGGUCAAAUAGGGUUUAGGAUGAAACAAGUCAACUUUAAGAUCGGGCGAUAUGUAAUUAUUAAUAAACGAUUGAUAAAUACGAUGUGCAUUUAUUCUUUAUUUUUUUUAAAUUGAAUUUAUUUUCAUUUUUUUAAUUGUAAUUCUAUGUGUUUGUCUAUGUUAUUGCAGAUUCUCCAACUUAAAGGUCCAAACUUUGUAUCCAUAGCAAAUGAUGAUUUGAUGCUCUUCAAUAUGUGGCUGUUAAUGAAAAGCUAAGAACUCAAGAUAGAAUUAUCUGAUGGAGCAGGUUGGUGUUGGUGUUUUAAGUUGUGGUUUUUGUAAUCAGCAAUUAGAUAGUCAUGGUCGCUAUGUUUAUGAUUUAUGAAGUGACUUCAAGGAUAUCAAAUUUUAGGGGUUUGUUAAAUCAUAAAGGAGUUGCAUCUACAACAUUGGAUGUAACGGAGGUGCUACACCAACUGGACUAAGAUCAUGUUACUUUCAGUAAAUUGUAAAUAUAACAUUAUUUGUCUUAUUUCUUGAU